This 253-nucleotide ribosomal RNA is filed under the name uncultured bacterium. RNAcentral's name for it is "partial 16S ribosomal RNA". It matches the Rfam family "Bacterial small subunit ribosomal RNA", at positions 524 to 776 of the family's 1533-position model. The record is from RNAcentral.
UACGAAGGGGGCUAGCGUUGUUCGGAAUUACUGGGCGUAAAGGGCGCGUAGGCGGCCGAGCAAGUUAGAUGUGAAAGUCCUGGGCUUAACCUGGGGACUGCAUUUGAUACUGCUUGGCUUGAAUUCGGGAGAGGAUAGCGGAAUUCCCAGUGUAGAGGUGAAAUUCGUAGAUAUUGGGAAGAACACCGGUGGCGAAGGCGGCUAUCUGGACGGUUUCUGACGCUAAGACGCGAAAGCGUGGGGAGCAAACAGG